RNAcentral lists this transfer-messenger RNA (400 nucleotides) under Flavobacteriaceae. RNAcentral's name for it is "UBA7446 sp002470745 Standard tmRNA". It matches the Rfam family "transfer-messenger RNA". From Rfam's summary of the family: Bacterial tmRNA, also known as 10Sa RNA or SsrA, is named for its dual tRNA and mRNA-like properties. Its role is to liberate the mRNA from a stalled ribosome. Lineage: Bacteria; Pseudomonadati; Bacteroidota; Flavobacteriia; Flavobacteriales. The record is from RNAcentral. RNAcentral also lists the same sequence under 1 other name.
GGGGUCGACUGGUAUUGACAGCGAGAUUCAUGACGAUGUAAGCAAGUCGAGCGCUGGACUACAGCUCGUAAAUCUCAUAGUACCACCAUUUUAAAUGGCGAGAAUAACUACGCUCUUGCAGCCUAAUUGACUGAAUUAUAGUAAGUCCAGGCCCUAGUCCCGCAAGGCGGGAAGGCAAGAUGUCUUUGGGAAGCCCUUGUUGACGGCGUCCCGCAAAAAGAUACCAUCAAAGUCAACAUAGAGAUCACGGUGCUUCGACGNGUUCUCAAAAUAAAGAAGCUAAGGUAAUUGUGGGCGGUUUUCGGUCAGCAACUAUUCAAAAAUCAAACGAAAACUAAACUUGUAGAAAGCGUUUGAUUGACUUGUUUGGACGAGGGUUCGAUUCCCUCCGACUCCACAA